Venturia canescens is the source of this 499-nucleotide long non-coding RNA. RefSeq lists it as uncharacterized. The record is from RefSeq and is a predicted model, not a curated record. The transcript has 3 exons. NCBI's taxonomy places the organism in Eukaryota, Metazoa, Arthropoda, Insecta, Hymenoptera, Ichneumonidae.
ACAGAACUACAAGAGGAGAAAAACGUGCAUUGGAGGAAAUAACUGAUAUUUGAAUUUUCAACUUUUUGACGAGUUCAAUAAAAAUGGAUAACGGCGGUAGACCGUACUUACCCCUUCUUUUCCGCCAUCUUUGUGUUCACAAGGAGUACCUGGUGCUGCGGAAAUUCUAUAUGGGCGACAUACCUCCAUAAUCGAUCCAUCUUCAUCUUCACUCAUCUGAUAUCCAACGGUACACCAAAUCUACACUUCGUCUACACUUCGAACGUAUUCGACUCCACCGGAUUUAGAAGAGUUCGGUCGGCCGUAGUAGACCGCCGUCGAGGGCGUGAAUAGUAUUCCAGGGUCCAAUCGAAAGUGCUGUAAAAUAGGAUCGUCGGCCACGGGCGCCUGCAGAUACAAUGAAGCAAGGGUGUCCAACGGCCAGAAAAAACAGAAUAAUACCCGCCGGGUACAUGUCGUUGGUCGAUGAUUGAAAAAAAAAUGGUGAAUAUCGAGGAAC